RNA transcript from Symphalangus syndactylus (siamang), 23988 nucleotides. It is a transcript of the gene named ALMS1 centrosome and basal body associated protein, with no coding region annotated. The record is from RefSeq and is a predicted model, not a curated record. Lineage: Eukaryota; Metazoa; Chordata; Mammalia; Primates; Hylobatidae.
CUCCUCCUCUGCAGCCUAGAGCGAGACACCAACAUGGAGCCCGAGGAUCAGCCAUGGCAGGGCGAGCUGGAGGAGGAGGAGGAGGAGGCUGCAGAGGCAGCGGCGGCGAACUUGGACGACGUAGUGGUCGUGGAGGAGGUGGAGGAAGAGGCGGGGCGGGAGUUGGACUCCGAAUCUCACUACGGGCACCAGCAUCUGGAAAGUACAGACGACGAGGAGGACGAGGAGGCCAAGGCCUGGCUGCAGGCGCACCCCGGCAGGAUUUUGCCUCCGCCGUCGCCCCCGCAGCACCGCUACUCGGAGGGCGAGCGGACCUCCCUGGAGAAGAUUGUUCCAUUGACCUGUCAUGUAUGGCAACAGAUAUUAUAUCAAGGCAAUAGUAGAACACAAAUUUCUGAUACUAAUGUGGUCUGUUUGGAAACAGCAGCUCAGCAAGGUUCUGGGGAUGAUCAGAAAACAGCAUCUUGGCAUUGUCUUCCUCAAGAAAUGGACUCUUCCCAAACCUUGGAUACAUCCCAGACCAGGUUUAAUGUAAGAACGGAAGAUACCGAAGUGACAGACUUCCCCUCUCUGGAGGAGGGUAUAUUGACGCAAUCAGAAAAUCAAGUAAAGGAACCCAACAGAGAUCUCUUUUGUUCUCCAUUGCUAGUCAUACAAGAUAGCUUUGCUUCUCCUGAUUUGCCUUUGCUGACCUGUUUGACACAAGACCAAGAAUUUGCGCCUGAUUCUUUAUUUCAUCAAAGUGAACUAAGUUUUGCACCUCUGAGGGGAAUUCCUGAUAAGUCUGAAGAUACUGAAUGGUCUUCUCGACCAUCAGAAGUUAGUGAAGCUUUAUUCCAGGCUACUGCAGAAGUAGCUUCAGACUUAGCAAGCAGUUGCUUUAGUGUAUCUCAGCACCUGCUUAUAGGCAGCACAGCUGUUGGGUCUCAGUGCCCUUUUUUGCCUUCUGAACAAGGGAAUAAUGAAGAGACUAUUUCAUCUGUUGAUGAACUGAAAAUUCCCAAAGACUGUGAUAGUUAUGAUGAUCUUUGUUCAUAUAUGUCAUGGAAGACACGAAAAGAUACACAGCAGCCUGAAAACAAUUUAGCUGAUAAAGAUCAAGUUUUAGUUGCAACUUCAUCUGACAUAACUGAUGAAAACAUAGCUACUAAAAGAAGUGACCAUUUUGAUGCUGCUUGUUUAUAUGGGCAGUACUGGAAACAGGAAGAUUCACCUAAGCAGGCAGAAACAUAUUUAACCAAGGGCCUGCAGGGGAAGGCUGAGUCUGACAUCAUUACUCUGGAUGGCCUAAAUGAAAACGCUGUUGUAUGCAGUGAAAGAGUUGCUGAACUACAAAGAAAGGUGGGUCAUUCUAAUCUGGGCAUUAAUGAGUCUUUUUCAUUUUUAUUGCCUUCAUUUGUUCCACAUAAGCCAACAAGAGAGUUGGAAUAUCAUUCUUCAGAUCUCAGAAUGUUGAGGAUGUCUCCUGACACUGUGCCAAAGGCUCCUAAACAUUUAAAAGCAGGAGACACUUCUAAAGGAGGCAUAGCUAAAGUUACUCAAUCCAACCUGAAGUCAGGCAUCACUACCACUCCUGUUGAUUCAGACAUUGGAUCUCAUUUAUCCUUGUCCCUUGAGGACCUGUCUCAGUUGGCUGUAAGUUCUCCUCUAGAAACUACUACUGGUCAACACACUGAUACUCUCAACCAAAAGACAUUAGCAGAUACUCAUCUAACUGAAGAGACUCUGAAAGUCACAGCUAUUCCUGAACCAGCUGACCAGAAGACUGCAACACCAACAGUACUCUCUAGUUCCCAGUCACAUAGGGGGAAGCCCAGUAUUUUCUACCAGCAGGGCUUGCCAGACAGUCAUCUAACUGAAGAGGCUUUGAAAGUUUCAGCUGCUCCUGGACCAGCUGACCAGACAACUGGCAUAUCAACUCUAACCUCUACUUCCUACUCACAUAGAGAGAAGCCUGGUACUUUUUACCAACAAGAGUUACCAGAGAGUAACUUAACUGAAGAGCCUUUGAAAGUUUCAUCUGCUCCUGGCCCAGUGGAGCAGAAGACGGGAAUACCUACAGUAUCCUCUACAUCCCACUCACAUGGAGAGGACCUCCUCUUUUUCUAUCGACAGACCUUGCUAGAUGGUCAUCUAACUGAUCAGGCUCUGAAAGUUUCAGAUGUGUCUGGACCAGCCGACCAGAAGACGGGGACAGCAACAGUACUCUCUACUCCCCACUCACAGAGAGAGAAGCCUGGUAUUUUUUACCAGCAAGAGUUCCCAGACAUUCAUCAAACUGAAGAGACUCUUAAAGUUUCAGCCACUCCUGGACCAGCUCACCAGAAGACUGAGAUACCAGCAGUACAGUCUAGUUCUUACUCACAAAGAGAAAAGCCUAGUAUUUUGUACCCACAGGAAUUAGCAGACAGUCAUCUACCUGAAGAGGGUCUGAAAGUUUCAGCUGUUGCUGGACCAGCUGACCAGAAGACUGGCCUACCAACAGUACCCUCUAGUGCAUACUCACACAGAGAGAAGCUCCUUAUUUUCUACCAACAGGCCUUGCUGGACAGCCGUCUACCCGAAGAGGCUCUGAAAAUUUCAGCUAUUUCUGGACCAGCUGAUGGGAAGACUGGGACACCAACUGUAACCUCUACUUCCUCUGCGUCCUCUUCACUUGGAGAAAAGCCCAGUGCUUUCUAUCAGCAGACCUUACCCAAUAGUCAUCUAACUGAAGAGGCUCUGAAAUUAUCAGUUGUUCCUGGACCAGGUGAUCAGAAGACUGGGAUACCCUCAGCACCAUCUAGUUUCUACUCACACAGAGAGAAGCCCAUUAUUUUUUCCCAGCAGACCCUGCCAGACUUUCUUUUACCUGAAGAAGCUCUGAAGAUUUCAGCUGUUUCUGUAUUGGCCGCCCAGAAGACUGGGACACCAACAGUGUCCUCUAAUUCUCACUCACAUAGCGAGAAAUCUAGUGUUUUCUACCAGCAAGAGUUGCCAGACAGUGAUCUACCUAGAGAAUCUCUGAAAAUGUCUGCUAUUCCUGGACUGACUGACCAGAAGACUGUCCCAACACCAACAGUACCUUCAGGUUCCUUCUCACAUAGAGAGAAGCCCAGUAUUUUCUAUCAACAGGAGUUGCCAGAUAGUCAUCCAACUGAAAAUGCUCUGAAAGUUUCAACUGGCCCUGGACCAGCUGACGAGAAGACUGAGAUACCAGCAGUACAGUCUAGUUCUUACACACAGAGGGAGAAGCCAAGUGUUUUGUACCCACAGGUGUUAUCAGACAGUCAUCUACCUGAAGAGAGUCUGAAAGUUUCAGCCUUCCCUGGACCAGCUGACCAGAAGACUGAGAUACCAGCAGUACAGUCUAGUUCUUACCCACAGAGGGAGAAGCCUAGUGUUCUGUACCCACAGGUGUUAUCAGGCAGUCAUCUACCUGAAGAGAGUCUGAAAGUUUCAGCCUUCCCUGGACCAGCUGACCAGAUGACUGACACACCAGCAGUACCCUAUACUUUCUACUCACAAAGAGAGAAGCCUGGUAGUUCCUACCAACAGACCUUGCCAGAGAGUCAUCUGCCUAAAGAGGCUCUGAAAAUUUCAGUAGCUCCUGGACCAGCAGACCAGAAGACUGGCACACCAACUGUAACCUCAACUUCCUACUCACAACAUAGAGAAAAGCCCAGCAUUUUCCACCAGCAGGCCUUGCCAGGUACUCAUAUACCUCAAGAGGCUCAGAAAGUUUCAGCUGUUACUGGACCAGGUGACCAGAAGACUUGGAUACCAAGAGUACUUUCUACCUUCUACCCACAAAGAGAGAAACCUGGUAUUUUCUAUCAACAGACCUUGCCAGGUAGUCAUAUACCUGAAGAGGCACAGAAAGUUUCAGCUGCUCUUGGACCAGCUGACCAGAAGACUGGGACACCAACUCCAACCUCUGCUUCUUACUCACACACAGAGAAGCCUGGUAUUUUCUACCAACAGGUCUUGCCAGAUAAUCAUCCAACUGAAGAGGCUCUGAAAAUUUCAGUUGCCUCUGAACCAGUUGACCAGACAACUGGCACACCAACGGUAACCUCUGCUUCCUACUCACAAUAUAGAGAGAAGCCCAGCAUUUUCUACCAACAGUCGUUGCCAAGUAGUCAUCUAACUGAAGAGUCUAAGAACGUUUCAGCGGUUCCUGGACCAGCUGACCAGAAGACUGUGAUACCAACCUUACCCUCUACUUUCUACUCACACACAGAGAAGCCUGGUGUUUUCUACGGACAGGUCUUGCCACAUAGUCAUCCAACUGAAGAGGCUCUGAAAAUUUCAGUUGCUUCUGAACCUGUUGACCAGACAACUGGCACACCAACGGUAACCUCUACUUCCUACUCACAACAUAGAGAGAAGCCUAGCGUUUUCUACCAACAGUUGUUGCCAGGUAGUCAUCUAACUGAAGAGGCUAAGAACGUUUCAGCGGUUCCUGGGCUAGCUGACGGGAAGACUGGGAUACCAACUUUACCCUCUACUUUCUACUCACACACAGAGAAGCCUGGUGUUUUCUACCAACAAGUCUUGCCACAUAGUCAUCUACCUGAAGAGGCUUUGGAAGUUUCAGUUGCUCCUGGACCAGUUGACCAGACGAUUGGCACACCAACUGUAACCUCUCCUUCUGGCUCAUUUGGAGAGAAGCCCAUUGUUAUCUACAAACAGGCCUUUCCAGAUGGUCAUCUACCUGAAGAGGCUCUGAAAGUUUCCAUUGUUUCUGAACCUACUGAAAAAAAGACUGACAUACCAACAGGACCUUUAGGCUCCAAUGCACUUGGAGAGAAGCCCAUUACUUUCUAUCAGCAGGCUCUGCUAGACAGUCCUCUAAAUAAAGAGGUUGUGAAAGUUUCAGCUGCUCCUGGACCAGCUGACCAGAAGACUGAGACAAUACCGGUACAUUCUACUACUUACUCAAAUAGGGGGAAGCCUGUCAUUUUCUACCAACAGACCCUAUCAGACAGUCAUUUACCUGAAGAAGCUCUGAAAGUUCCACCUGUUCCUGGACCAGAUGCCCAGAAGACUGAGACACUAUCAAUAUCCUCUAGUUUAUACUCAUAUAGAGAGAAGCCCAUUGUCUUCUACCAACAGGCCCUGCCAGACAGUCAGCUAACUAAAGAAGCUCUGAAAGUUUCAGCUGUUCCUCGACCAGCUGACCAGACUACUGGGUUAUCUACUGUAACUUCCUCUUUCUAUUCACAUACAGAGAAGCCUAAUAUUUCUUACCAGCAAGAGUUGCCAGAUAGUCAUCUAACUGAAAAGGCUCUGAAAGUCUCAAAUGUUCCUGGACCAGCUGACCAGAAGACUGGGGUAUCAACAGUAACCUCUACUUCCUACUCACACAGAGAGAAGCCCAUUAUUUCCUACCAGCAAGAGUUGCCGCAUUUUACUGAAGCAGAUUUGAAAAUUUUAGGAGUUCCUGGACCAGCUGACCAGAAGACUGGAAUAGACAUCCUGUCCUCUAAUUCCUACCCACAGAGAGAGCAGUCUGUCAUUUCUUAUCAGCAGGAGUUGCCAGAUCUUACUGAAGUAACUUUGAAAGCAGUAGGGGUUCCUGGGCCUGCUGACCAGAAGACUGGGAUACAAAUAGCAUCCUCUAGUUCCUACUCAAACAGAGAGAAGCCCAGUAUUUUUCAUCAGCAGGAGUUGCCAGAUGUUACUGAAGAAGCUUUAAAUGUUUUUGUUGUUCCUGGACAAGGUGACCAGAAGACUGAGAUACCAACAGUACCUUUAAGUUACUACUCACAUAGAGAGAAGCCCAGUGUUAUCUCUCAACAGGAGUUGCCAGACAGUCAUCUCACAGAAGAGGCUCUGAAAGUUUCACCUGUUUCUAUAACAGCAGAGCAGAAGACUGGGAUACCAAUAGAACUGUCUAGUUCCUACUCACAUUCACAUAAAGAGAAACUCAAGAUUUCAACUGUGCAUACGCCAGAUGAUCAGAAAACUGAGUUCCCAGCAGCUACCCUUAGUUCCUACUCCCAAAUAGAGAAGCCCAAGAUUUCAACUGUGAUUGGACCAAAUGACCAGAAGACUCCAUCCCAGACAGCUUUUCAUAGUUCCUAUUCUCCAACAGUAAAGCCCGAUAUUUUAUUUCAACAGCAGUUGCCAGAUAGAGAUCAAAGUAAAGGUAUUCUAAAGAUUUCAGCUGUCCCUGAACUAGCUGAUGUGAAUACUGGAAAACCAAUACCUCUCUCUAGUUCUUAUUUUCACAGAGAGAAAUCGAAUAUUUUCAGUCCACAGGAAUUGCCAGGUAGACAUGUAACUGAAGAGGUGCUGAAGGUUUCAACAAUUCCUGGACCAGCUGGCCAGAAAACAGUAUUACCAACAGCUCUUCCUAGUUCCUUUUCACAUCGAGAGAAACUAGAUAUUUUCUAUCAAAAGGAUUUGCCAGAUAGACGUCUAACUGAAGAGGCUCUAAAGAUCUCAGGUGCUCUUGGGCAAGCUGAUCAAAUUACUGGAUUACAAACAGUUCCCUCUGGUACUUACGCACAUGGUGAGAAUCACAAGCUUGUUUCAGAACAUGUCCAAAGGCUAAUAGAUAAUUUGAAUUCUUCUGACUCCAGUGUUAGCUCAAAUGAUGUGCUUUUAAAUUCUCAGGCUGAUGACAGAGUUGUAAUAAAUAAACCAGAAUCUGCAGGUUUUAGAGAUGUUGGCUCUGAAGAAAUCCAGGAUGCAGAAAAUAGUUCUAAAACUCUUAAGGAAAUUCGGACACUUUUGAUGGAGGCAGAAAAUACAGCACUGAAACGAUGCAAUUUUCCUGCUCCCCUUGCCCCUUUCAGAGAUAUUAGUGAUAUUUCAUUUAUACAAUCUAAGAAGGUGGUUUGCUUCAAAGAACCCUCUUCCACGGAUGUAUCUAAUGGUGAUUUGCUUCAGAGACAGCCAUUCACAGAGGAAAGCCCAAGCAGCAGGUGCAUACAGAAGGAUAUUGGCACACAGACGAAUUUGAAAUGCCAGAGAGGCAUUGAAAAUUGGGAGUUUAUUAGUUCAACUACAGUUAGAAGUCCUCUACAGGAAGCAGAGAGCAAAGUCAGUAUGGCAUUAGAAGAAACUCUUAGGCAAUAUCAAGCAGCCAAAUCUGUAAUGAGGUCUGAACCUGAAGGGUGUAGUGGAACCAUUGGGAAUAAAAUUAUUAUCCCUAUGAUGACUGUCAUAAAAAGUGAUUCAAGUAGUGAUGCCAGUGAUGGAAAUGGUUCCUGCUCGUGGGACAGUAAUUUACCAGAGUCUUUGGAAUCAGUUUCCGAUGUUCUUCUAAACUUCUUUCCAUAUGUUUCACCCAAGACAAGUAUAACUGAUAGCAGAGAGGAAGAGGGUGUGUCAGAGAGUGAGGAUGGUGGUGGUAGCAGUGUAGAUUCACUGGCUGCGCAUGUGAAAAACCUUCUGCAAUGUGAAUCCUCACUGAAUCAUGCUAAAGAAAUACUCAGAAAUGCAGAGGAAGAGGAAAGGCAGGUACGAGCACACGCCUGGAAUCUGAAGUUCAAUUUAGCACAUGAUUGUGGAUACUCCAUUUCAGAAUUAAAUGAAGAUGACAGGAGGAAAGUAGAAGAGAUCAAGGCAGAGUUGUUUGGUCAUGGAAGAACAACUGACUUGUCCAAGGGUUUACAGAGUCCACGGGGAAUGGGAUGCAAGCCAGAAGCUGUAUGUAGUCACAUUAUUAUUGAGAGCCAUGAAAAAGGAUGUUCCCGGACUCUAACUUCUGAACAUCCACAACUAGAUAGCCACCUUUGUGCUUUCAGAUCUGCUGAACCCUCAGAAAUGACCAGAGGAUGGCAGAGCCCAUCAUCAUGCAGAGCCAAGCACGUCAACCUUUCUGCAUCUUUAGACCAGAACAACUCCCAUUUCAAAGUUUGGAAUUCCUUGCAGUUAAAAAGUCAUUCUCCAUUUCAAAACUUUAUACCUGAUGAAUUCAAAAUCAGCAAAGGUCUUCGAAUGCCAUUCCAUGAAAAGAUGGUCCCUUGGCUGUCAGAAUUAGUAGAACCUGCUUUUGUGCCACCUAAAGAAGUGGAUUUUCAUUCUUCAUCACAAGUGUCAUCCCCAGAACCCGUGAAAAAGUUUUCUACCUCCAUCACUGUUUCGUCUCACCGACAUUCUAAAUGCAUUUCUAAUUCCUCUGUUGUUAAGGUUGGUGUUACUGAAGGUAGCCAGUGUACUGGAGCAUCUGUGGGGGUAUUUAAUUCUCAUUUCACUGAAGAACAAAAUCCUCCUAGAGAUCUUAAACAGAAAACCUCUUCCCCUUCAUCAUUUAAAAUGCAUAGUAAUUCACCAGAUAAAGAAGUGACUAUUUUAGCAGAAGGUAGAAGGCAAAGCAAGAAAUUACCUGUUGAUUUUGAGCAUUCUUUUCAAGAAGAAAAACCCUUAGAAACAUCAGACUUUACAGGCAGUCAUUCUGAGCCCAGUACCAGUGCAAAUUGUAGCAAUUUCAAGGAAACUCAAAUUUCUGAUAACCAUACCCUUAUUAGCACGGGCAGACUAAGUUCCACCCUAGGAGUAGGCAGAUCGAGUUCCAGACUAGGAGUAAAAGAGAAGAAUGUAGCUGUAACUCCAGAUCUUCCUUCUUGCAUUUUUCUUGAACAACGAGAGCUCUUUGAACAAAGCAAAGCCCCACAUGCAGAUGACUGUGUGAGGAAACACCAUUCUCCCUCUCCUCAACAUCAGGAUUAUGUAGCUCCAGACCUUCCUUCUUGCAUUUUUCUUGAACAACGAGAACUCUUUGAACAGUGCAAAGCCCUACAUGUAGAUCAUCAAAUGAGAGAAAACCAUUCUCCCCUUCCUCAAGGUCAGGAUUCUAUAGCUUCAGACCUUUCUUCUCCCAUUUCUCUUGAACAAUGCCAAACCAAAGUGCCAGUUGUAGAAGACCUAAUGAAUAAACACCAUUUUCCCCUUCCUCAAGGUCAGGAUUGUGUAGUGGAAAAGAAUAAUCAACAUAAGCCUAAAUCACACAUUUCUAAUAUAAAUGUUGAAGCCAAGUUCAAUACUGUGGUCUCCCAGUCAGCCCCAAAUCACUGUACAUUAGCAACAUCUGCAUCUACUCCUCCUUCAAAUAGAAAAGCACUUUCUUUUGUUCGUAUAACUCUUUGUCCCAAGACUUCUUCCAAGUUGGAUAGUGGAACUUUAAAUAACAGAUUCCAUUCAUUGGAUGCUGCUUCUAAAGCGAGGAUGAAUAGUGAGUUUAAUUUUGACUUACAUACUGUAUCUUCGAGAUCACUGGAACCAACCUCCAAAUUAUUGACCAGUAAACCUGUAGCACAGGAUCAAGAAUCUUUAGGUUUUCUAGGACCUAAAUCUUCACUGGAUUUCCAAGUCGUACAGCCUUCUCUUCUAGACAGUAACACUAUUACUCAGGACUUGAAAACCAUACCUUCUCAGAAUAGCCAGAUAGUAACCUCAAGGCAAAUACAAGUGAACAUUUCAGAUUUCGAAGGACAUUCCAAUCCAGAGGGGACCCCAGUAUCUGCAGAUCGAUUACCAGAGAAGAUGAAGACUUCACUUUCUGCCUUCUCUGAAAAAUUGUCAUCUGAUGCAGUCACUCAGAUAACAACAGAAAGUCCAGAAAAGACCCUAUUUUCAUCUGAGAUUUUUAUUAAUGCUGAAGAUCAUGGACAUGAAAUUAUAGAGCCUGGUAACCAGAAGCUACGCAAAGCUCCUGUCAAGUUUGCCUCAUCAUCUUCAGUCCAGCAGGUUACUUUUUCUCGUGGCACAGAUGGCCAGCCUUUAUUAUUGCCAUAUAAGCCUUCUGGUAGUAAGAAGAUGUAUUAUGUUCCACAAUUAAGACAAAUUCCUCCAUCUCCAGAUUCCAAAUCAGAUACCACCGUUGAAAGCUCCCAUUCAGGAUCCAAUGAUGCCGUUGCUCCAGACUUCCCAGCUCAGGUGCUAGGCACAAGAGAUGAUGACCUCUCAGCCACUGUUAACAUUAAACAUAAAGAAGGAAUCUACAGUAAGAGGGUAUUGACUAAGGCAUCCUUGCCAGUGGGAGAAGAACCCUUGCGGAAUGAAAAUGCAGAUGCCUCAGUUCAAGUGCUAAUCACUGGGGAUGAGAACCUCUCAGACAAAAAACAGAAAGAGAUCCACAGUACAAGGGCAGUGACUGAGGCUGCCCAGGCUAAAGAGAAAGAAUCUUUGCAGAAAGAUACUGCAGAUUCCAGUGCUGCUGCUGCUGCAGAGCACUCAGCUCAAGUAGGAGACCCAGAAAUUAAGAACUCGCCAGACACUAAAGCCAUUACACAGAAAGAGGAGAUCCAUAGGAAGAGGACAGUUCCCGAGGAAGCCUGGCCAAGCAAUAAAGAAUCCCUACAGAUCAAUAUUGAAGAGUCCGAAUGUCAUUCAGAAUUUGAAAAUACUACCCAUUCUGUCUUCAGGUCAGCAAAGUUUUACAUUCAUCAUCCCGUACACCUACCAAGUGAUCAAGAUAUUUGCCAUGAAUCUUUGGGAAAGAGUGUUUUCAUGAGACAUUCUUGGAAAGAUUUCUUUCAGCAUCAUCCAGACAAACAUAGAGAACACAUUUGUCUUCCCCUUCCUUAUCAAAACAUGGACAAGACUAAGACAGAUUAUACCAGAAUAAAGAGCCUCAGCAUCAAUGUGAAUUUGGGAAACAAAGAAGUGAUGGAUACUACUAAAAGUCAAGCUAGAGAUUAUCCAAAAUAUAAUGGACAAAUUAAUGAUCCAAAAAGGGAUCAGAAGGUCACCCCAGAGCAAACAACUCAGCACACUGUGAGUUUGAAUGAACUGUGGAACAAGUAUCGAGAGCGACAGAGGCAACAGAGACAGCCCGAGUUGAGUGACAGGAAAGAACUGUCCUUGGUGGACCGACUUGAUCGUUUGGCUAAAAUUCUUCAGAAUCCAAUCACACAUUCUCUCCAGGUCUCAGAAAGUACACAUGAUGCUAGCAGAGGGGAACGAAGUGUGAAAGAAUGGAGUGGUAGACAACAGCAGAGAAAUAAGCUUCAGAAAAAGAAGCGGUUUAAAAGCCUAGAGAAAAGCCAUAAAAACACAGGAGAGCUUAAAAAAAGCAAGGUGCUUUCCCCUCAUCGAGCUGGGAGGCCUAAUCAAAUUAAAAUUGAACAGAUUAAAUUUGAUAAAUAUAUUCUGAGUAAACAGCCAGGUUUUAAUUAUAUAAGCAACACUUCUUCGGAUUGUCAGCCCUCAGAGGAGAGUGAGCUGCUCACAGAUACUACCACCAACAUCCUUUCCAGCACCACUUCUAUUGUCGAAUCAGAUACAUUGACCCAAACAGAUAGAGAGAUGGCUCUGCACGAGAGGAGUAGCUCUGUUUCCACUAUUGACACUGCCCGGUUGAUUCAAGCUUUUGGCCAUGAAAGAGUAUGUUUGUCACCCAGACGAAUUAAAUUAUAUAGCAGCAUCACCAACCAACAGAGGAGAUACCUUGAGAAGCGGAGCAAACACAGCAAGAAAGUGUUGAAUACAGGUCAUCCCCUAGUGACUUCUGAGCACACCAGAAGGAGACACAUCCAGGUAGCAAACCAUGUGAUUUCUUCUGACCCUGUUUCGUCUUCUGCCAGUAGUUUCCUGAGCUCGAACUCUACUUUUUGCAACAAGCAAAAUGUACACAUGUUAAACAAGGGCACACAAGCAGGUAACCUGGAGAUUGUGAACGGUGCCAAAAAAAACACUCGAGAUGUUGGGAUAACUUUCCCAACUCCAAGUUCCAGCGAGGCUAAAUUGGAAGAGGACAGUGAUGUGACUUCUUGGUCAGAAGAAAAACGUGAAGAGAAAAUAAUCUUUACCGGUUAUCCUGGGGACAGAAAGUUAAAAAAGAACAAGAAUUCCCAUGAAGGAAUUUCCUGGUUUGUUCCUGUGGAAAAUGUGGAGUCUGGAUCAAAGAAGGAAAAUGUACCCAAGGCUCGUGGCCCUGGCAUCUCCUGGUUUGAACCAAUAACCAAGAGCAAGCCGUGGAGGGAGCCACUGCGGGAGCAGAACUCGCAGGGGCAGCACCUGGACAGUCGGGGCUCCCUGGCAGGCCCAGGCAGAGGGGAUGGCAGAGACCCACUGAAGCCGUUUGUGAGAGCAACCCUGCAGGAAUCGCUUCAGUUUCACAGACCUGACUUCAUCUCCCGCUCUGGGGAGCGGAUAAAGCGCCUGAAGUUAAUAGUCCAGGAGAGGAAGCUGCAGAGCAUGUUACAGAGCGAGCGGGAUGGGCUAUUCAACACUGACAGGGAACGGCAGGGCCACCAGAAUCGCAUGUGCCCGCUGCCCAAGAGAGUCUUCCUGGCUAUCCAGAAGAACAAGCCUAUCAGCAAGAAGGAAAUGAUUCAGAGGUCCAAACGGAUUUAUGAGCAGCUUCCAGAAGUACAGAAAAAGAGAGAAGAAGAGAAGAGAAAAUCAGAAUAUAAGUCAUACCGGCUGCGAGCCCAGCUAUAUAAAAAGAGAGUGACUAAUCACCUUCUGGGGAGAAAAGUUCCCUGGGACUGACACAAGUUUAUUUUCCUCAGAGCCUUGGAAUUCUAUUUUAUGAAACUAGAGAAGCACAAUCCUUACUUUUAUGACUGGGGCCUCCAGUCUGCAUGUAGCCUCCAUUUGAUUUCCAAGGCAGAGAAUACCCCCGGCUAACUUUGGAAACAAAGACAGCUUCAUUGUCACUCUGGAUCAAUCAAGCUUUAGGCUUCCUAUCUGAGUCCUCCAGGAAAGAAGAGCUUUUAACUCCCUUGGCAGUGAGUGUGGACUUGGUCCAAGGAAGAUGAGCACCAGUCAGGGCAGCUGGUCCCUCUUGUCUCCCUGACCAUCAGCAAAUCAGCACUGCCCAUCGAUGCUCAGGCAAUGGGAGCGUCGACCAGCAGAGGAAACACCUGAAUUUAUCUGCCUCAUGGGAGGGUGGCCGCUGUGUUGCAUUUAGGAAGAAGCUGUGCAAGAUUGAUACUGUUUUGCUAAUGUAAAUCUUGUGGGCAUAAUAAACGUCGUACCCACACUUAUUUUUUGAGAUCAGACAAGAUUGGGUGCGUUCAGGGUGGUAUGGCCAUAGAUUCCCACUUUUUUUUUUUUUUUUUUUUUUUUUUGAGAUGGAGUUUCACUCUUGUUGCCCAGGCUGGAGUGCAGUGGCGCAAUCUCGGCUCAAAGCAACCUCCGCCUCCCGGGUUCAAGCCAUUCUCCUGCCUCAGCUUCUGGAGUAGCUGGGAUUACAGACAUGCGCCACCACGCCCACCUAAUUUUGUAUUUUUAGUAGACACGGUGUUUCUCCAUGUUGGUCAGGCUGGUCUUGAACUCCGGACCUCAGGUGAUCUGCCUCCCAAAGUGCUGGGAUUACAGGCGUGAGCCACCGCGCCCAGCUGACCCCACACUUAUUUUUAAUACACUUCUAGGCAAGGUUGCUGCACUGGUCUGGGGAUCACACUUUGAGUAGCAAAGGACUAAAUUACAAUAACUGCUGGGGGGAGAAAAAAAACAGCAUGAACUGCUUCCUCCUGGCUCAGAAGCUAGGGAGUUACUGAACUAACAAGGGGAUGGGGUGGGGAUAAGAAUGUUCCAGGCAAAAGGAACAGCAUGGCCCAAGGUCUCAAGCAGAAAGAGAGCUUCAGGUAUUGAAGAAGUAGCAGUAGCUCUGUGUGGCUGGGGAGUGGGCAGAAGAUGGAACAGAAGAAUGCCAGGUCCUAUUCCUGGGUCUGAAUUUCCAGGAGCAGAAGCCCUGUCCCCUCUAGAAGGUAGAUACAGUCUGGAUAUUUGUUGUCUUCAAAUCUCAUGUUGAAAUGUGACCCCUAAUGUUGGAGGUUGGACCUAGUAGGAGGUGUUUAGGUCAUAAGAAGUGGAUCUCUCCUGAAUGGUUUGGUGCCCUUCUCAUGACUGAGUUGUUGCUCUAUUAGUUCAUGUGAGAGCUGGUUGUUUAAAAAGCCUGGCAUCUCUCUGGUUCCCUCUCUUGCCAUGUGACACACCUGCUCCCCUUUCACCCUUCCCCAUGAGUAAAAGCUUCCUGAGGCCCUCACCAGAGGCAGAUGCCAGCAGUGUGAUUCUUGUACAGCCUGAAAAACUGUGAUUCAAAUAAACCUCUUUUCAUUAUAAAUUACCCAGUCUCAGAUAUUUCUUUAUAGCAAUGCAAAAUAGACUAUCACAGAAAGUUGGUACUGAGGAGUAGGGUGUUGCUAUAAAGAUAUCUGAAAAUGUGGAAGUGGCUUUGGAACUGGGUUAUCGGGCAGCAGUUGGAAGAGUCUGGAGGGCCCAGAAGACAGAAAGAUAAGAAAAGGUUUGGACCUUCUUAGAGAUUUGUUAAGUGAUUGUAACCAAAUGUGGAUGGAAAUAUGUACAGUAAAGGCCAGCCUGAUGAGGUCUCAGAUGGAAAUGAGGAAGUUAUGGGGAACUGGAGCAAAGUUCACCCUUGUUAUGCCCUAGCAAAGAACUUGACUGCAUUGUAUCUAUGUCCUAGGGCUUUGUGGAAGGCUGAACUUAAGAGUAAUGACUUAUUGUAUCUGGUAGAAGAAAUUUCUAAGCAGCAAAGCAUUCAAGUUUUUUUCGACAACAUAGCAUCUCUGGUGUUGCUCUGAAUCUGCUGUGAUUCUAGGGAUUGCCUGAUUUGCGAAUCGUCUUUUUUCUUUUUCUUCUCAAUUAAAUUCUGUUAAAUUUGUUUUUAUAAAUUUAUAAAAGUUUUAUAAGUCUUUUAGUUUUUAUAAGGUUUUUGUUUUAACAGCUCUGGUGUUGGAAGUGCAAUUUGAAGUAAAACUCUGGUGACCUCCAGGAACACCAGGUGACCAGGCCAGUUGUGCUCACUGCUCUCUUGAUUGUAACUGGAGGUUGUAGAUGGGUUUUCUCUUGGAUUCGGAGCUCCACUAAUUUGUGUUCUAAUUGGAGCUCUCCAAGUUUAUUGGAGCAAUAUUUAAGUGGACUGGGUUCAGGAUCAAAUUUGAAUCAAUAAUUAAAUGGAUUGGGUUCUGUUAGAGCCUCAGACCUCUGGUAGGCACUUUUUUCUUUCUUUUUUUUUUUUUUUUGAUAAUGGGUUUGUCUCAAUCCAAAGAUUCUAGGAAUCUACCUUCUGGGACUCCAUCUAAUUUUAUAUAUAAAAUUAUGGGCCCAGAACUUGUGCAUUUUUAGAAAAAUAGAUUAACCUUAGUAGAGAAAAGAUGGCCACAAUAGGGAAGUUUUAAUUUGUAUAAAAUUGUUUAUUUGCAAGGCAUAUUAGAAAAAAGGGGGAUCAAAACCCCACAAAAACAGUGGGAUAUAGUCUUUCAUUGGCACAUGGGAGCCUCUAAAAGACUAAACGAAUGAAAAAUUGCCUCCUUAAAAGAUUCUUUGCAAAAGCAAAUGAACAGCUUAAGCAACAGACUAAGGACAUGAUGAAAGAGAACUGUACUCUGCCUGAAUUCACCCCAACUGUUUCUUUUCCUUGUCUCUACCUACGUACUCUGAGUCUACUAACCUUUUUGCUAAAUUAACCUUUCACUCUGAAGAUGAUGAAAAAGGAGGAAUUAUAUGUACGCCUCACAAAGGAAGACCUUCUGAUUAUCCAGGCCUGCCUGCUGUAACCACUUUCACUCCAUGGUCCAAAACUUAGAGCUAUUGUAGAAGACUUCCCUGAUCUAAGAGAAAAUCCUCAAAAAUUGCCUGAGGAGUUUAGAAUCCUCAUAGGAGAUUAUGAUCCAGGACUCCCUGACAAAGGUUCAUAUGACAAUUUAUUCAUAUGAUGUGGAGGCCUGGUGAAGCUCAAAAAUGGAUGGCAGCAGCAGAAUGGAACAAACCUGGGAAGAUAUUAAAGACCCCGCCUCCGCCCACCCCCCUCCAAAACCUCCUCAUGAGAACGCCCAACAGGAGCUAGAAAUGUUGCUGCAAAUCCCAGCCUGGGCAACAUGGCAAAACCCUGUCUAUACAAAAAGUACAGAAAGUUAGCUGGGCAUGAUGGCACAUGCCUGUAGACCCAGCUACUUAUGAGGCUAAAGUGGGAGGAUCACCUGAGCCUGGGAGCUUGAGGCUACUGUGAGCCAUGACUGUGCCACUGCACUCCAGCCUGGGUAGCAGAGCAAGACCCUGUCUCAAAAAAAAAAAAGGAAAAAAAUGUGCUGAAAAUCUUUUAAAUUCAAAUACCAAAUUUUUUCCACAAAAGUUGAUUGGUACAUCAUACAAUCUUGUAAACCAAAAAAAGAAUGAACUAGUGUCAGAUUACAGAACUUGCUUCGAAAUAAUGUGAAACAUUCUGGGCUCAAAGUACUAGCAAGGAGUAUCUCCUGCAGGGACUGAAAUGGUAUUAACUACUCUGUUUAUAAAUGGACUUCAUCCCGAACUUAGAAAUUUAAUUAGAAAACCUGAACUGGGAUGGGAAGUUACAGCCAUGACUGAAUUGGUGGCUCUAGCUGAACAUUUUGAGAGGACUGUAGAGCAAGAAAAAACCCAAAAGGCUAACAAGCUUAUGGCUCUUCAAUUACAACAGUUACAGGGGCCAAGACCAAAGGGAUCUUCUCAUUCUCAUUUUAAAUCACAACCAAGAGGUGUUAGAGCAAGAAAUUCUUCACCCUACGAUGUCUGCCUUAUUGCAAACAACCAGGACAGUGGAAAAGGGAUUGUGCCCUUUUAUACCAGUCCACCAAUUACCCUCCCUUUAGGCCAGUCUGAGUUAACCACUAGAGGGAGCACAAGAGACCUUAGCUCUCCUGAAGAUAAUCAGCAUUGAAGCGGCUCUGAUGGAUUUGCCAGUAUAUUACUCCUCAUAAUACCCUUAAAAGAAUAUGGAGAAACAGAGGUUACAAUAAAUGGGGACUCAUGUAUAGUCUUGGUGGAUACCGGAGCUACCUUAUCUGCCACUAUCAUAAAACACACUUUCAUAAGCCAACAGAUCCCUCAGAGUUAAAGAGGCUAUUUCUGUGGUGGGAGUUUCAAAUCAAAUUCAAGGGGUUCCCAUAUCUGGACCCAUCCAACUGACGUUGGGGCAUUUUUCAGAAAAUCACACUUUUGUACUAGGUGAUACUGCUCCAGCAAGUUUGCUAGGGGGAGAUUUACUUUCAAAGCUGAAAGGGCAUAGAAGACUAUAUAUUGGGUACAGAGUACACUGCUUGGGAAAUGGGUGCACUAAAAUCUCAGAAAUCACCACUAAAGAACUUGUCCAUGUAACCAAAAAACCACCUGUACUCCCAAAACUAUUGAAAUUUUUUAAAUUAAAAAAAUUUAAAAAGUGGAGAGGGUGUAAAAUUUUCCUUGGAAUAAGAAUCAGUUUCCUGAUUCUCCUGAACCAGAAUUGUUAAUGCUCUCUAUAGGCAGAAAUUAAUAAGAUUGAAACUCAGGCCUGUAAUGCCUGAUCUUCCAAAAAUACCUGAAUGUUUAUGGGCCUCUUCCUCAACUGAUACAGGAAGAAUUUAAAGUGUGGGACCUAUUAACGUCCAAAUAGACCACUGUAAACUUUUGCCUAAAUUACCCAAUAUCUACGAAAACUAGAAGCAAUUCAAGGGCUCUCGCCAAUUGUAGAAGAUUUAAUUAAACAGGGAUUUAUAAUUCUAUGCAGCAGCCCUUGUAACACUCCAAUCCUACUGGUUAAAAUAAACUAAAUGGAUGAGGUUGAAGAUUUGUUCAAGGUUUAUUGGCAGUUAACAAAAUUGUAGUAGCAAGGUUUCCUAUAGUUCCAAAUCCUAAUACUUUAUUAUCCAAGAUAUAUGCUGAUUCUUAAGUGGUUCACAAUAUUAGAUCUCUGCUCAGCCUUUUUCUUGCAAUCCAGUUCAUAAGGAGAGUCUAUGCUUGUUUGCCUUCACUUGGAAAUGGACUGUGAUGCCGCAAGGGUUUACCGAAGCCUCUUUGUAUUUUCCCAGGCAUUGCAUCAGGACUUUAUGACAUUAUAGUUUCUUCAAAAUUCUACUCUCAUUCAGUAUGUAGAUGACUUAUUGUAUGCUCUCCCACUAAAGAGUACCCUGAAAUGGACUCAGUUUACCUUUUACAGCAACUCACACAUCAAGGUCACAAAGCUUCAAUAGAAAAACGUCAGUUUUCAAGGGGAAAAAAAGUCCAUUAUUUGGGACAUGACUUGAAGGGAUUUCCCUCUCACCUAAAAAGUUAAAAACUAUUCAAAAUUUUCCUUUGCCUGCAACCAAAAGAUAAUUAAGAGGUUUUCUUGGACUUGCAGGAUAUUUUCUUGGACUUGCAGGAUAUAUUCUUAGACUUGCGGGAUAUAAAAUUCCUGGGUUCUGAAUUUUUCCUUAAUAACCUCACCAUUGUAUGAGCUCCCUAAAAAAUGCUGUACCAGAGCCUUUACCUUGGGAUGAUAGUCAUGAGCAGGCUUUUAGCUAAAUAAAAUUGACCUUAUAUCAGCCUCCAGCUUUAGGACUUCCAAAUUGCAGUAAACUGUUUACCUAAUUGACUCAUGAAAGUAAUAAUCAGGCAUUUGGGAGUCUUACCCAGGAACAUGGGGAGAAACAUAGGCCCAUUGCAUAUUAUAGCCUGCAAUUAGACCCAGUAGCUAAGGUAUAUCCUGUUUAAAAGCAGUAGCAGCAGCAACCAGGCUGAAAGAAGCUUCAGCUGAUCUGGUUUUAGGAAAUGAACUUAAUUUGGAAGUCCCACAUGCUAAAUUCCACCCAAACCCAGCAUUUUUUAGUAAGUAGACUAUCAUCUUAUGAAAUACUCUAUCUCCUUCUAAUCUCUAUCUAAAACACUGCAAUUUACUUAACCAUGCCACUCUAUUACUGCUGCCUGAUGAUGGUGAAGACCACAGUUGCGUAAGUGUAGCAUCAGAAAUAGUGGCCCCUCAUGUUGAUUUACAAGUUAGUCCACUGGACAAUCCUGAGUUAACAUUUUCGUUGAUGAGUCCUAAGCUCAGAAGGAAAAUAUCAACUAGGAUAUGCUGUUACCACCAAAAUGAGUUAAUAGAGAAGGGUCCCCUUCCUCUAUUAGCUCUAUUAGUCUAAGCUCUAUAAGUCAGCUUAACCCUCGAAGAUUUUUGCCCUCACCCAAGCUUGUCAUAUAGCUAAAGACAAAUCAGUAAGUAUUUAGAUAGCUAGUAGAUACGCUUUAGGAGUAGUACAUGAUUUUGGCAUGAUAUGGAAACUCUAAGGGUUUCUCACUUCUAGUGGGACCACCAUCAAAAAUGGACUCCAAUUAGAUAAACUCCUAGACUGCUGUUAUUGAUUGAAGCUCAUACCUCCAGAACUGAAUCUGAAUAUCAAGGGAAUGCUUAACAGAUUGUUAUGCUAAAUCAACUAGCACUGAAACUGUUAGGAUAUGAAAUCGGAAUGAACUCCAUAAGAUUAAUUGAAGCCAACUACCUUACAAUGACAUAUUUAAUAAACAAUGCAAAGCACCUGAUUUGGAAAAACAAAACUAGUAUCUAAAAGGAUAUAAAUUCAAUAUUAAGCGCAAACUUGCAGAGGGCCUAGAUGGCUGCCUGGUCUUUCCUGAGUCUUUGAAGCUUCUAUUGUCAAAAGCUCUGUACUCUACAACUCAUCAUGGAACAGAAAAAUUCAUCCAAAUUGUGAAAAAGUACUUGUGGGAUAACUGUUCCAAAAUUGCUAGAAUAUACUUUUUUUUUUUUUUGAGAUGGAGUCUCACUGUGUCACCCAGGGUGGAGUGCAGUGUUGUGAUCGCAGCUCACUGCACCCUCCGCCUCCCUGGUUCAAGUGAUUCUCCUUCCUCAGCCUCCCAAGUAGCUGGGACUACAGGUGUGUGCCACCAUGCCCGGCUAAUUUUUUUUAUUUUUAGUAGAGAUGGGGUUUCACCAUGUUACCCAGGAUGGUCUCAAUCUCCUGACCUUGUGAUCCACCUGCCUCGGCCUCCCAAAGUGCUGGGAUUACAGGCGUGAGCCACUGCGCUGAGCCUGCUAGAAUAUUUUAUAACCAGUGUUGGCUUGUCAAACCAUAGUCCUGGAAAAACAAAAGAUUCAGGUGAUAUAUUGUAUUUUCACCACCUAAUGGACCAUUUGAACAAUUAUAGAUGGACUUCAUUCAGUUGCCACCCUCAAUGGGGGUCUCAGUAUGUUCUUGUAAUAGUUUCCAUGUUUUCUGGUUGGGUAGAGGCCUUCCUGUGUAGGAAAGCUGAUGCUGUGACAGUAGCUAAGAAAAUAUUAGAAAAUGUGUUUCCUUUAUGGAACAUCCCUGGAAAAAUCCCCAGCAAUGGGGGAAUUCAUUUUAUUAGGGAAGUUAUAAAGCAGUUAAACAAGGUGUUAUGGACACAGUGGCACCACCAUUGUCCCAAUCGCCCUCAGUCUUCUGAAAAGGUUGAAAGAACAAAUGGCAUAUUAAAACUGAAAUUGCAAAGUUAACUGAAUCAGUUGGGUUGCCUUGGCCAAAGGUACUAUCAUUGGAUUUAAUGGCAAUCAGAUCCACUCUCACUUAAAAACAUAAGUGGACCCCUUAUGAAAUAGUCACUAGAAGGCCUAUGCCCCAGUAGUAAAACCUCACGCAUCUUUCUGUCUCCUAAAUUCUGAUAUGAGUAAGUACUGCAAGGCCAUUAUACCAAAGUGUACUUUCACCAGAUAAAGGAAGAUUUUCAACACCAGCAACUGAGGAUAAUCAAACCUUCCACAGUCUAGAACCUGCAGAUUGUGUCUUCUGGAAAUGACAUCAGAGGAAGGCUCCUCUUGACAACUCUUUGGAAGGGACCAUGCUGAGUUCUUCUCAACACCUACACUGCAGCGAAGCUUCAGGGCCUUGAAACUUGGGUCCACACCUCACAACUCAAAAGGACCUCUGCAGACUCCUGGAACUGUACACGUGCUGGAGACUUUAAGGUAAAGCUGUCUAAGGAAAUAUCUCUCCAGAGCCGAUGGCAUUCUAGCUGUGGACAGCUUUCCCAAGAUCACAGAUCAAGACUCCUGUAUCAUCAUGAAAGCCUUACGUUUUUUCUUUUCUCCUCAUUUCCUGUUGCCCUAAUUCUUUCUUUUUCCCUACAGGAAAAUCCGUGAGACCAUAACCAGUGGAUGGCUUUAGCUUGAGCGUAUGCUCUAGCACAGAACCAGAGUUUGUGGGUUAUUAGGUUUGUUGUUUAUUGCCAAAAAAAAUAAACAAUUCCACUAAUGCCAAUGCCUCUCCGUGUUCCCAAUGAGAGUCACCCCCAAAUUCCAAGGGAAGGAUGGAAAGCUAUCCUUGAUAUCCUGAACACCAUUGCUACUUGCUUCCCUGCACUCAUUAAAAGCAACACUUUAACUUUUCCUUUUUUUUUUUUCUUUUUUUUUUGAGACAGUCUCACUCUGUUGCCAAGGUUGGAGUGCAGUGACCUGAUCUUGGCUCACUGCAGCCUCUACCUCCCAGGUUCAAGGGAUUCUCCUGCCUCAGACACCCAAGUAGCUGGGACUACAGGCAUGCACCACCGCAUCCAGCUGAUUUUUGAAUUUUUAGUAGAGACAGGGUUUCUCUACGUUGGCCAGGCUGGUCUCAAACCUCCUGGCCUCAAGUGAUCUGCCAGCCUUGGUUUCCCAAAGUUCUGGGAUUACAGGCAUGAGCCACCACACCCUGCCUUAACUGUUUCAAUUAAUAACCUGAUCAUUACCAAAAUAUAGAAAACCAGUCCAAGUGAUGCCUGCAAAAGAUAUAUUGUGCUUUCAGGCAUCAUGCACUUAAGAUACGGGAAUUACCUAUGUGAGUGCAAGUAAUUGCUUGUAUAAUGUCACCAGAUUAAAUUCAACGGGGUCUCUUUUUACUAAGUGUUUUAUAACCCUUGCAACAUGCUGUAAGGGGGGCACAAAAAGGUCAGUUUCUCAAUGGAUUUUGUUCAGCAGCUAUGCAGAUUUAUUAAUGAACAAAUGUAACUGACCCCUUCUCAAAUGCAACUAGAUGGCCCUGUUUUUCAACCACCAAGGGCCUAUUUUGGGUCUGUAGAUAAUCUGCAUAUUUCAUUCUGCCUCUUUGUUGGCUCAGAUCUUGCUAUUUGGUCUGGCUCACUCCUGCCUUUCGAAUAGUUUCACAUAAAAAUUCUCCUAACAGCUCUUAUGAUUGGAGGCCAAAAUAGUCAAUAACUGAAAUUAGUACUAGCUUUGAAAUGGACAAAGAUAAGCUAGUUUCCACUGAGGAAAGAUUCCAUUGGGGUUCCGGGCGGCUCACUCUUGGUGGUAGCGGGAUACUAGUUGUAUGGAAUCUAAAGUUAAUCCAUAUUUGGGGUCUUGGAUUUUAUAGCCAAUCAGACAUCCCCGUGUUUCAGACAGGUAGAAGCUACUCUCCAGAAGGUAGAUGUGGCCUGGUGCAGUGGCUCAUGCCUGUAAUCCCAGCACUUUGGGAGGCCAAGGCAGGUGGAUCGCCUGAGGUCAGGAGUUCGAGACCAGCCUGCCCACUGUGGUGAAACUCCGUCUCUACUAAGUACAAAAAAUUAGCCAGGCAUGGUGGCGUGUGCCUGUAGUCCCAGCUACUUGGGAGACUGAGGUAGGAGAAUCGCUUGAACCCAGGAUUCAGAGGUUGUAGUGACCUGAGAUCACCCCACUGCACUCCAGCCUGGGUGACAGGGCGAGACCCUGUCCCAAAAAUAAAAAAAAAAAAAAAAAAAAAAAACAAAACAAAAAAACAAAAGGUAGAUGUUACAGUUAACGGAACAUCAUGCAGCUUCAUAUCUCCUUUUUACUCAAGCUGGGGUCUAUGUUUGGUGUUGAACAAAAUGGAAUGCUGCACUUAUCUGUCUCCUGAUUUUGUUACUACAGAAAGCUUAAUGUAGAGGUGGCUGAUACUGCUGUUUCUUUAGACACUGACACCAAAUACAGUAAAGAAGUCUCUCAAGAGGAAAACAUGGUGUGUUUACAGCAGCAACUAACAGCUGGUUUGUAGACACCCUAAAUGGUGGAUGGUAAGCUUGGGUUUCCCAAAGGUUUCUAGUCUUUAUAUGUCUUCUAGUAGGUGUCCAGGUUUGUAUGGCUUGUGUUACCAGAGUAACAAUGAAAAUGGCUAUGUCUUUAAAUCAGGCCACUUUACAGUGAACUAUGGUCCUUAAUUGCUAUCACAUUUCAAACAAGAACUAUGACCAAUUAAACUUUAAUAUUGUUGAACUGCCUAUGUUGCCUGAACUUUGACUUGUUUAAGUUGGUUUCAUUUAUUUCAUAAGAACUCUUGUUAAGGGGUGCACCUUGGUAUUUUGAUAUUAUUCUCUUGAUAGUCAUAAUAAUAGUUCCCUGGUGUGCUGCAUCCUCUCAAGUCUUAAAUGUUUUGUAUGCAGCCAUACAUUGAGAACUGAAUGGUCUCACUUCGACUAGGUCAGCAAGAACGUAAAGAAUCAUUCACCUAGUGUGAAGCUGUGACUUGUGAACUUCACAGUCACACCAAUAAAGACUUGUGAACUGGCCGGGCAUGAUGGCUCAUGCCUGUAAUCCCAGCAAUUUGAGAGGCCGAGGCAGGCGGAUCAUGAGGUCAGGAGAUCAAGAUCAUCCUGGCUAAAACGGUGAAACCUCGUCUCUACUAAAAAUAUAAAAAAAAUUAGCUAAGUAUGGUGGUGGGUGCCUGUAGUCCCAGCUGCUUGGGAGGCUGAGGCAGGAGAAUGGCGUGAACCCAGGAGGCGGAGCUUGCAGUAAGCUGAGAUCGCGCCACUGUACUCCAGCCUGGGUGACAGAGCGAGACUUUGACUCAGAAAAAAAAAAAAAAAAAAGACUUGUGAAUUCCAUACUGAGACAGACAGUUCACAAUAGUGAGAGAGUGGCAUCAAUGCCUAAAGUUUUGAUCAAUUUCUCUAAAUUGAGAGUCUGACCAAAAGAGGGGAAUUGAUAAAUGAAAUUCAAAUCUGGCCUGAGGAAGCCUUCAUAUUCCCAUAGUUGAGUCCUUAAGGGUGAACCGUAACGUAACUAGUAGGUAGGCAGACUGAAAACCUAACUUAGGAGGAUGCUUCUUUAGCAAUAGCUGAGUCUCAGCCAAUCCCAUUGGCCAUACGUCAACCACUCACAGGCAGCCGACUGUUUGAAUCAUGCUCAGAUAAGGCAAACACCAAGCUGUAACCAGUCUGGCUGUUUCUGUACCUUACUUCCAUUUUCUGUAUGUAACUUUCUUUUUUCUGUCCACAAAUUUGCUUUGACAACACAGCAUCCCUAGUGUCUGUCUGUGUGUGCUGUGAUUCUGAGGGCUGCCCAAUUUGCAAAUUAUUUAUUUUUCUUGAUCAAUUAAACUCUGUGAAAUGUAA